This 735-nucleotide ribosomal RNA is filed under the name bacterium IMCC11798. RNAcentral describes it as "bacterial SSU rRNA". It matches the Rfam family "Bacterial small subunit ribosomal RNA", at positions 28 to 755 of the family's 1533-position model. The record is from RNAcentral.
AUUGAACGCUGGCGGUAUGCUUAACACAUGCAAGUCGAACGGAAACGAUACUAGCUUGCUAGUAGGCGUCGAGUGGCGGACGGGUGAGUAACGCGUAGGAAUCUGCCUGAUAGUGGGGGAUAGCCCGGAGAAAUUCGGAUUAAUACCGCAUAAUCUAUUCGUAGUAAAGUGGGGGACUUUCGAGCCUCACGCUAUCAGAUGAGCCUGCGUAAGAUUAGCUAGUUGGUAGGGUAAAAGCCUACCAAGGCGACGAUCUUUAGCUGGUCUGAGAGGAUGAUCAGCCACAUCGGGACUGAGACACGGCCCGAACUCCUACGGGAGGCAGCAGUGGGGAAUAUUGGACAAUGGGGGCAACCCUGAUCCAGCAAUACCGCGUGUGUGAAGAAGGCCUGAGGGUUGUAAAGCACUUUCAAUUGUGAAGAAAAGUUAGCGGUUAAUAACCGUUAGCCUUGACGUUAACUUUAGAAGAAGCACCGGCUAACUCCGUGCCAGCAGCCGCGGUAAUACGGAGGGUGCAAGCGUUAAUCGGAAUUACUGGGCGUAAAGCGUGCGUAGGCGGUUUAUUAAGUCAGAUGUGAAAGCCCCGGGCUUAACCUGGGAACUGCAUUUGAAACUGGUAAACUAGAGUAUGGUAGAGGAAAGUGGAAUUUCUGGUGUAGCGGUGAAAUGCGUAGAUAUCAGAAGGAACAUCAAUGGCGAAGGCAGCUUUCUGGACCAAUACUGACGCUGAGUACG